UACGUAGGGUGCAAGCGUUAAUCGGAAUUACUGGGCGUAAAGCGUGCGCAGGCGGUUUUGUAAGUAUGAUGUGAAAUCCCCGGGCUCAACCUGGGAAUUGCAUUGGAGACUGCAAGGCUAGGAUCUGGCAGAGGGGGGUAGAAUUCCACGUGUAGCAGUGAAAUGCGUAGAGAUGUGGAGGAACACCGAUGGCGAAGGCAGCCCCCUGGGUCAAGAUUGACGCUCAUGCACGAAAGCGUGGGGAGCAAACAGG
RNAcentral lists this ribosomal RNA (253 nucleotides) under uncultured bacterium. RNAcentral's name for it is "partial 16S ribosomal RNA". It matches the Rfam family "Bacterial small subunit ribosomal RNA", at positions 524 to 776 of the family's 1533-position model. The record is from RNAcentral.